This 1170-nucleotide long non-coding RNA is filed under the name Cricetulus griseus (Chinese hamster). RNAcentral describes it as "lncRNA (ENSCGRG00015030864.1)". Lineage: Eukaryota; Metazoa; Chordata; Mammalia; Rodentia; Cricetidae. The record is from RNAcentral.
CCAUGUCUGCGCCCGGGGCCUCCAGUGGCUCGCUCGCCACACGGCCGUCGAGGCUCAGCUCCCUGGGCUCGCCCGUCACACCGACAUCGAGGCUCGGCUUCCCGGGGCUCACCCGUCACACCGCCAUCGAGGCUCGGCUCCCCGGGGCUCGCCCGUCACACCGCCAUCGUGGCUCGGCUCCCCGGGGCUCACCCAUCACACCGCCAUCGAGGCUCAGUCUCCAGGGCUCGCCCGUCACACCGCCAUCGAGGCUCAGUCUCCAGGGCUCGCUCGAGGCUCAGUUUCCAGGGCUCGCCCGUCACACCGCCAUCGAGGCUCGGCUCCCCCGGGCUCGCCCGUCACACCGCCGUCGAGGCUCAGCUCCCCGGGCUCGCCCUGCUGACGCGACAGCACCGCGACAGUGGUGGCGCCGCGGAGAUGGCGGAGAGGAACUUCCGCUCGCUGUCGCUGACUGGACGACCAACGCACGCAUCGAGCACUCAGUCUGCACCCGCGCUUCCCUGGGGCCCUCAAAACUGUGCCUGCGACGAGGUGUCACAUGGCGACGGAGGUGGAACCAUGCCGACCCCCUCUUCUGUGAGCGCAGGGCGGCGACUGGGGCGGCACCAGGAAGAAAGAUGGCGGAUGAGGGACUUCCGCCCGCCCGCCCGCCGGUGCGCAGGUCCCAACCGCUCGCAGUCCCCACAGCCCCACAGCCUUCACCAUUGCUCCCGAGGUUGGCGGGCCCACAGCUACAGAGUGCUCACGCAUUGAGUGACAGAUAAGCCGUGCGUUCUCCGUCUGACCGAGGAGGGCGAAAGGGCGCGCUCCAACCAUCCCCCUUCCCGGCUCGGCGUCUCUGCUUGGGGGAGACCACCCAGCUGCCUGGAGAAGAUGCCUUUCCUGCAGAGUUUGCUCCCAGCUGCUCUCUCGAGACAAAUCCGGCGUCCGUCUCUACUCAGUGCACUUUUCUGGUUGCUGAUUCCCGGAGAUGAAGGGGCUCAGGAAAUCCCAGGCCUAGUGUCCCAUAGAGACAGUCCUUUCCUUCCGAGAACAAAUGGAUUUUCGGGGGAAGUGGGAGGUGUUUGCCACCUGCCCGAGGGGUUUGGGUUUUGUUUUGUUUUGUUUUGUUUUGUUUAGAGAUCUCUAUUCGGUGAAGCCAGAAACUCACUCACUCACUCUCUGUCUCUG